This 437-nucleotide ribosomal RNA is filed under the name uncultured bacterium. RNAcentral's name for it is "bacterial SSU rRNA". It matches the Rfam family "Bacterial small subunit ribosomal RNA", at positions 958 to 1397 of the family's 1533-position model. The record is from RNAcentral.
AACGCGAAGAACCUUACCAAGGCUUGACAUGCAGGGAAAAGCCGUGGAGACACGGUGUCCGAAAGGGCCCUCGAUAGGUGGUGCAUGGCUGUCGUCAGCUCGUGUCGUGAGAUGUUGGGUUAAGUCCCGCAACGAGCGCAACCCUUGUCCUAUGUUGCCAGCGGGUAAUGCCGGGGACUCGUAGGAGACUGCCGGGGUCAACUCGGAGGAAGGUGGGGACGACGUCAAGUCAUCAUGCCCCUUAGUCUAGGGCUGCACACAUGCUACAAUGGCCGGUACAAAGGGCUGCUACUCCGCGAGGACGAGCGAAUCCCAAAAAGCCGGUCUCAGUUCGGAUCGUAGUCUGCAACUCGACUGCGUGAAGCUGGAGUCGCUAGUAAUCCCGGAUCAGCAACGCCGGGUGAAUACCGUUCCCGGGCCUUGUACACACCGACAUA